Trifolium pratense (red clover) is the source of this 747-nucleotide long non-coding RNA. RefSeq lists it as uncharacterized. The transcript is spliced from 2 exons. Lineage: Eukaryota; Viridiplantae; Streptophyta; Magnoliopsida; Fabales; Fabaceae. The record is from RefSeq and is a predicted model, not a curated record.
AAAAAAAUAAAAAUUAGAUGGACUGGACUUGGGCUUUGUUUGGAAAGCCAGGAAAGGGUGGCAUUUCCGGGCCAGGGCUGAAAAUGGAUCUGAAUGCUAAGAUUGGGCUAACCUUCACUCCAAUAGAAUGGGGAAACGAGCAGAAGCAUAUUUUGUCUACCAUCCCUCGGGGCAAAUCCGUGUUCAUCACAGGCUCUGCUGAAAGUAGUGUAGUGGCUAAAAAAUCCAACUGAGUUAAGCUCACGGGACUUAUUUUUUGAGUUUUAUUGAUCUCUUUUUAAUAAUAUAUACUAAUAAUAGACAUUUAUAUAAUUAUAAGAUUAAGAAAGAUAUUACUAAUAAUUAAAAUAUUUUAUUUAUGCUAAUCUACAUCCAAGCCAAACUAAACCAAAGCGAUGAGUUGUUUUACAAAUUAGCAUCUAGUAGUAAUAAGUAAACAAUAAUAAAAAGCAGAAAUAGACCAUAAUCUCUCUCUCUAAAUUAUUCUUAGUUCAUCACUGCAUCAUCAUAAGCAAGAAGAACUUGUAGUGACUCCCAUCAUACGGUAUUGUAGACCGCUGCAAAUUAAAAAGAAAUAAAGAGCAAAUAAUUAGUCCAUAAUGUAGGUUAAAAAUUCCAAGUAGAUAAAUCACACAUUGAUGAUGACAUUAAUUGGAUCAAGAAUAAACCGUCUAUAUUUUAAGUUAGUAUUUUUAAAAACAAAAAUAAAAUUUAUAUUAAAAUUUGUUUAAAAAAACAAAAAAAAAA